Molecule: ribosomal RNA, 253 nt
Filed under: uncultured bacterium
Lineage: Bacteria
Description: partial 16S ribosomal RNA
Rfam family: Bacterial small subunit ribosomal RNA
Source: RNAcentral
UACGUAGGGGGCAAGCGUUAUCCGGACUUACUGGGUGUAAAGGGAGCGUAGACGGCCAGACAAGUCUGAAGUGAAAAUCCAGCGCUUAACGUUGGAAGUGCUUUGGAAACUGCCGGGCUGGAGUGCAGGAGGGGCAGGCGGAAUUCCUAGUGUAGCAGUGAAAUGCGUAGAUAUUAGGAGGAACACCAGUGGCGAAGGCGGCCUGCUGGACUGCAACUGACGUUGAGGCUCGAAGGCGUGGGGAGCAAACAGG